This 2902-nucleotide ribosomal RNA is filed under the name Escherichia coli UMEA 3097-1. RNAcentral describes it as "bacterial LSU rRNA". It matches the Rfam family "Bacterial large subunit ribosomal RNA". Lineage: Bacteria; Pseudomonadati; Pseudomonadota; Gammaproteobacteria; Enterobacterales; Enterobacteriaceae. The record is from RNAcentral.
UUAAGCGACUAAGCGUACACGGUGGAUGCCCUGGCAGUCAGAGGCGAUGAAGGACGUGCUAAUCUGCGAUAAGCGUCGGUAAGGUGAUAUGAACCGUUAUAACCGGCGAUUUCCGAAUGGGGAAACCCAGUGUGAUUCGUCACACUAUCAUUAACUGAAUCCAUAGGUUAAUGAGGCGAACCGGGGGAACUGAAACAUCUAAGUACCCCGAGGAAAAGAAAUCAACCGAGAUUCCCCCAGUAGCGGCGAGCGAACGGGGAGGAGCCCAGAGCCUGAAUCAGUGUGUGUGUUAGUGGAAGCGUCUGGAAAGGCGCGCGAUACAGGGUGACAGCCCCGUACACAAAAAUGCACAUGCUGUGAGCUCGAUGAGUAGGGCGGGACACGUGGUAUCCUGUCUGAAUAUGGGGGGACCAUCCUCCAAGGCUAAAUACUCCUGACUGACCGAUAGUGAACCAGUACCGUGAGGGAAAGGCGAAAAGAACCCCGGCGAGGGGAGUGAAAAAGAACCUGAAACCGUGUACGUACAAGCAGUGGGAGCCUCUUAAUGGGGUGACUGCGUACCUUUUGUAUAAUGGGUCAGCGACUUAUAUUCUGUAGCAAGGUUAACCGAAUAGGGGAGCCGAAGGGAAACCGAGUCUUAACUGGGCGUUAAGUUGCAGGGUAUAGACCCGAAACCCGGUGAUCUAGCCAUGGGCAGGUUGAAGGUUGGGUAACACUAACUGGAGGACCGAACCGACUAAUGUUGAAAAAUUAGCGGAUGACUUGUGGCUGGGGGUGAAAGGCCAAUCAAACCGGGAGAUAGCUGGUUCUCCCCGAAAGCUAUUUAGGUAGCGCCUCGUGAAUUCAUCUCCGGGGGUAGAGCACUGUUUCGGCAAGGGGGUCAUCCCGACUUACCAACCCGAUGCAAACUGCGAAUACCGGAGAAUGUUAUCACGGGAGACACACGGCGGGUGCUAACGUCCGUCGUGAAGAGGGAAACAACCCAGACCGCCAGCUAAGGUCCCAAAGUCAUGGUUAAGUGGGAAACGAUGUGGGAAGGCCCAGACAGCCAGGAUGUUGGCUUAGAAGCAGCCAUCAUUUAAAGAAAGCGUAAUAGCUCACUGGUCGAGUCGGCCUGCGCGGAAGAUGUAACGGGGCUAAACCAUGCACCGAAGCUGCGGCAGCGACACUAUGUGUUGUUGGGUAGGGGAGCGUUCUGUAAGCCUGUGAAGGUGUACUGUGAGGUAUGCUGGAGGUAUCAGAAGUGCGAAUGCUGACAUAAGUAACGAUAAAGCGGGUGAAAAGCCCGCUCGCCGGAAGACCAAGGGUUCCUGUCCAACGUUAAUCGGGGCAGGGUGAGUCGACCCCUAAGGCGAGGCCGAAAGGCGUAGUCGAUGGGAAACAGGUUAAUAUUCCUGUACUUGGUGUUACUGCGAAGGGGGGACGGAGAAGGCUAUGUUGGCCGGGCGACGGUUGUCCCGGUUUAAGCGUGUAGGCUGGUUUUCCAGGCAAAUCCGGAAAACCAAGGCUGAGGCGUGAUGACGAGGCACUACGGUGCUGAAGUGACAAAUGCCCUGCUUCCAGGAAAAGCCUCUAAGCAUCAGGUAACAUCAAAUCGUACCCCAAACCGACACAGGUGGUCAGGUAGAGAAUACCAAGGCGCUUGAGAGAACUCGGGUGAAGGAACUAGGCAAAAUGGUGCCGUAACUUCGGGAGAAGGCACGCUGAUAUGUAGGUGAAGCGACUUGCUCGUGGAGCUGAAAUCAGUCGAAGAUACCAGCUGGCUGCAACUGUUUAUUAAAAACACAGCACUGUGCAAACACGAAAGUGGACGUAUACGGUGUGACGCCUGCCCGGUGCCGGAAGGUUAAUUGAUGGGGUUAGCGGUAACGCGAAGCUCUUGAUCGAAGCCCCGGUAAACGGCGGCCGUAACUAUAACGGUCCUAAGGUAGCGAAAUUCCUUGUCGGGUAAGUUCCGACCUGCACGAAUGGCGUAAUGAUGGCCAGGCUGUCUCCACCCGAGACUCAGUGAAAUUGAACUCGCUGUGAAGAUGCAGUGUACCCGCGGCAAGACGGAAAGACCCCGUGAACCUUUACUAUAGCUUGACACUGAACAUUGAGCCUUGAUGUGUAGGAUAGGUGGGAGGCUUUGAAGUGUGGACGCCAGUCUGCAUGGAGCCGACCUUGAAAUACCACCCUUUAAUGUUUGAUGUUCUAACGUUGGCCCCUAAUCGGGGUUGCGGACAGUGUCUGGUGGGUAGUUUGACUGGGGCGGUCUCCUCCUAAAGAGUAACGGAGGAGCACGAAGGUUGGCUAAUCCUGGUCGGACAUCAGGAGGUUAGUGCAAUGGCAUAAGCCAGCUUGACUGCGAGCGUGACGGCGCGAGCAGGUGCGAAAGCAGGUCAUAGUGAUCCGGUGGUUCUGAAUGGAAGGGCCAUCGCUCAACGGAUAAAAGGUACUCCGGGGAUAACAGGCUGAUACCGCCCAAGAGUUCAUAUCGACGGCGGUGUUUGGCACCUCGAUGUCGGCUCAUCACAUCCUGGGGCUGAAGUAGGUCCCAAGGGUAUGGCUGUUCGCCAUUUAAAGUGGUACGCGAGCUGGGUUUAGAACGUCGUGAGACAGUUCGGUCCCUAUCUGCCGUGGGCGCUGGAGAACUGAGGGGGGCUGCUCCUAGUACGAGAGGACCGGAGUGGACGCAUCACUGGUGUUCGGGUUGUCAUGCCAAUGGCACUGCCCGGUAGCUAAAUGCGGAAGAGAUAAGUGCUGAAAGCAUCUAAGCACGAAACUUGCCCCGAGAUGAGUUCUCCCUGAGACUUAGAGUCUCCUGAAGGAACGUUGAAGACGACGACGUUGAUAGGCCGGGUGUGUAAGCGCAGCGAUGCGUUGAGCUAACCGGUACUAAUGAACCGUGAGGCUUAACCUU